This 67-nucleotide transfer RNA is filed under the name Bombus lucorum (white-tailed bumblebee). RNAcentral describes it as "tRNA-Ser". RNAcentral also lists the same sequence under 6 other names. Lineage: Eukaryota; Metazoa; Arthropoda; Insecta; Hymenoptera; Apidae. The record is from RNAcentral.
AGUUAAUGAACUUGAAUAAGUUUAUGAUUUGAAAUCAUAUUAUAGAAAUAAAAUUUUCUAUUAACUU